RNAcentral lists this ribosomal RNA (496 nucleotides) under Pseudotrochalus sp. DA1662. RNAcentral describes it as "partial 16S large subunit ribosomal RNA". It matches the Rfam family "Bacterial large subunit ribosomal RNA", at positions 1844 to 2600 of the family's 2925-position model. Lineage: Eukaryota; Metazoa; Arthropoda; Insecta; Coleoptera; Scarabaeidae. The record is from RNAcentral.
UUUAAGGUCUAAUCUGCCCUAUGAGGAGUUAAAUGGCCGCGGUAUUUUGACCGUGCAAAGGUAGCAUAAUAAUUAGUUUUUUAAUUGAAAGCUGGAAUGAAUGAUUGGACGAGAAAAUUACUGUCUCAGAUUAAUUUAAUUAGAAUUUUAUUUUUAAGUUAAAAAGCUUAAAUUUUUUUAAAAGACGAGAAGACCCUAUAGAGUUUUAUAUGUUUUAUUAUUUUAAAAUUUUUAGAAUUAUUGGUUUGUUAUUUUAAAAUAUAUUUUAUUGGGGUGAUAGAAAAAUUGAAUUAACUUUUUUUAUAUUAAAACAUUUAUAUAUGAUUAAAUGAUCCAUUUUUUAUGAUUAUAAGAUUUAAUUACCUUAGGGAUAACAGCGUAAUUUUUCUUUAGAGUUCUUAUCGAAAGAAGAGAUUGCGACCUCGAUGUUGGAUUAAAAUAGACGUUUGGUGUAGGGGCUAAAUAGUUAGGUCUGUUCGACCUUUAAAAUUUUACA